Molecule: transfer RNA, 87 nt
Filed under: Candidatus Colwelliibacteriota bacterium
Lineage: Bacteria; Candidatus Colwelliibacteriota
Description: tRNA-Ser
Rfam family: tRNA
About the family: Transfer RNA (tRNA) molecules are approximately 80 nucleotides in length. Their secondary structure includes four short double-helical elements and three loops (D, anti-codon, and T loops).
Source: RNAcentral
GGAGACGUGCCAGAGUGGUUGAACGGGGCGGUCUCGAAAACCGCUAUACCAGAAAUGGUAUCGGAGGUUCGAAUCCUCCCGUCUCCG